Molecule: transfer RNA, 77 nt
Filed under: Scincella rupicola
Lineage: Eukaryota; Metazoa; Chordata; Lepidosauria; Squamata; Scincidae
Description: tRNA-Tyr
Rfam family: tRNA (bases 1-66)
About the family: Transfer RNA (tRNA) molecules are approximately 80 nucleotides in length. Their secondary structure includes four short double-helical elements and three loops (D, anti-codon, and T loops).
Source: RNAcentral
GGUAAGGUGGCCGAGGAGGCGGCAGGUUGUAGCCCUGUUUACGUGGGUUUAGCCCCACCUUUACCAAGUUUUAAAUA